GCCUAUACAUACAAUAUGUCUCUGUGGUGGAGACAUAUAGUUUUUUUUUUAACGUCCAUUGUCAACAGUUAGGCAUAUUGAAAUAAUUUCUUCCUACAAUAUCGGCACAUGCCGUUGGUUGGUUAAGAUAGAGACAUAUUUUGGAUUUGGCAAAUAAACCAUGGUACAGGUAUAGCUAAGGAUAGGCAAUGAACGUACUUGUUGAGGUUAGGGAGAGGUUAUGAUUACAGUUUUCAAAUAGCAGACACUAACUGUUGGAUUGUGACAGGACAGGAAUUCGGUGUCCACAACCCCAAUGUCCAUAUCGGUAGUUUGUGUUUGGUUACAUAAAGGGCACACUGCUUCCUGCAUUGGCACUGAAUGUUGGCACAGGACUUUAAUCCAGCAGAAUUGCCCAAUACAAACAUAAUUCUAAUUUCAAAACCUUUGACUGAUUACAAUUGGUGCCCAAUCAAUAUGAGCAUCCAUUAUCAAAAGCAAUGCCAUAGCCACCUUUUGCAACUGCAGUAUAACAGCUAACAAAUAAUUGUUGCCAUGCUGGCCAUAUAAAAAUUAAAAACUUAAUUUAGGCAAACGCUCAGUACUAACCAGCCCUCUUGUUUGUGUUGGCAUUGGUGGUGUAGUGGUUGUGAAUUUUGUAAGCAACCUAGGCUACCAAAGCAUGGCCCAAUGAUAUAUACAUACAAUAGCAAGUGUUGUAGACAUUAAAGGGGAACCACACCUAAAUUAAGAAUUCCAAUAUUUUACUUUUAUGGGCUAGGAAAGUGCAAUCAAUAUUUGUGAACAUAAGCUAUUUUCUCUUUCAAAACCAGAAACCAGAGAAGUUAGUCUUAAACUUGUGAUGUCAUUAAGUGUAAAGUCUGGAGCCGCUCCAUAGCCAAUGAAUGGGAGACUCAUUUUGUGGACCCUCAGAAUGUUUUUCUUUUCUUUUUUUUAUACCCAAAUGAGCUUUAUUCCAUUGUAGUGUUCUCAUGUCUGAAACAGAAAAUGUACCCAUACACUCAGAACAUUCCUCUGGGGGCCCUCGGUGUCAUCUAUAACAUCUUUCCCAAUGCAUUGUCUAUGGAGCAGUUCCAGACUAUACUUGAUGACAUCCCAAAAUUUGAAUUUUAGCACUCCAGUGUUUGGAUAUGGGAGGGACCUUUUCAUGUUUAAUAAUAUUUUUGGACUGUCUCAGACCAUAGGAAAAACAUGUAUGAGUUCUGAAAAUAAGCGUAGUACACCUGAAAGACAUGACCACUAUUACUUAAUCAUAAAAUAAAAGUGGAAAUUGACAAAGUGUUCCUUUAAGAUAGAGGAAACCGAACACCUUUUUAGCAUAAGGGGAAACUCUUGGAAUGCAUUUAUAACAGAGCUGUCAAAAUUAAAGCGAUAAUGAUUUAACGCAAAUUCCUUUUUAACACCACUCAUUUUUUUGACGCGCGAUUAACGCACACGAAGCGAUGCAGCAUUAAUGUUGUACUUCCAUGCAUUGUGGAUGGCCAGCAGAAAACGUAAGGUGCCCUGUGAUAACAUCCAGGGCAUCCAGCCAUCCGCCGUCUGGCUCGCCACGGUGGAGUGAAGCACAUCUCCGGUCUGAUCUACGAGGAGACCCGCAGUGUGCUGAAGGUGUUCCUGGAGAACGUGAUCCGUGAUGCUGUCACCAACACGCCAUGAGGAAGAUGGUGACCACCAUCUAUGUGGUGUACGCUCUGAAGAGGCAGGCCCGCACCCUGUACGGCUUCGGAGGUUAAACCUGAUCCUGAAUCACAAAUUGAAGGCUCUUUUAAGAGCCACACACUUACUUCCCGUUCUGAGUAACAGGCUUUUUUACUUACAUUUUUAACUAAAUUAAUUAUCAUUAAAAAGCAGCUCAAAGCCCUUUUCAAAAAAAAGAAACAAACCUCCUUGAGCAGAAAUGUACUUUCGAUGUGAAUUGAGUGACCACCGGAGUACGUCGAGUCUCAUAUACCACUUACCAUUACCAUUAAAAACUUGAAAAAUGUCCCUUUAAAGUACAUUUAAAACAGAUACAAAAUGUCCGAUUAAUUUGUGAUUAAUCGCGAGUCAACUAUAGACAAUCAUACGAUUAAUCGCAAUUAAAUAUUGUAAUCGAUUGACAGCCCUAAUUUAUAUAUGUAUCAGAAAACAUAACAGCAUAAUGUGCA
Sander lucioperca (pikeperch) is the source of this 2147-nucleotide long non-coding RNA. RefSeq lists it as uncharacterized. The transcript has 2 exons. The record is from RefSeq and is a predicted model, not a curated record. Lineage: Eukaryota; Metazoa; Chordata; Actinopteri; Perciformes; Percidae.